This 423-nucleotide long non-coding RNA is filed under the name Mytilus galloprovincialis (Mediterranean mussel). Lineage: Eukaryota; Metazoa; Mollusca; Bivalvia; Mytilida; Mytilidae. The record is from RNAcentral.
UUUUUUUUAAUGUUUAUUUGCAUGAUUCUAGUUAUUAUAUCAGCAGAAAAUAUGAACAUGUAGCUGUAAAACCAGGAAUUAUUUUAAUGUGUAAGGAUACUAAAUAGUUGUUGACUUUUCCAAUUUAAAAUUAUAAACAAAGAAGGACCUUUAUCAGGUUGGACACAACACAUAGGGAUCCCCCUCAAUAUUAGGACAUUAAAAACCACCUUUUAAGUACAAAUGAGUACACAUUCAUAUAAUAUGAUAUUAUUUGAAGAAACUUUUCCCAAAGAACUAUACAUCUUAUGAUCUAUCUGGUAUUAUACAUGUAUGGUCAACACAUGUCCAAGAACUUUGAUAUGUUCUUGGCCUUUCAUCUUCUUUAUUAUUCAAAACAAUAGGACUCUUCAUUUAGAAAAGCUGUUACAAAUAUAAUGUCAG